CCUGGGUCAAAUAAUAAAAAUUGUAAAACAUCAAUUCGUAUUAUUAGAGCCAUAGCUAAUACAAAAUCAUAACUUGUACACGACAAGUGUUUGGCAUAUAAACAAAACAUUUGGCCAUGUUUGAUUACAAAGAAUCUGGAACCUGGUUUGAAAACCAACAAAUUAUUUUACGGAUUUUUUCGGAUUUAGGUAACGGUGAAACCUGCCCUUAAACAAGAUUUAUCGGAGUCAAAAUGAGCGUUAUAUAACUGGUUCGUUUAUUAUAGACGAGUCCAUCUUUAGAAAAGUAAUUUGGGAUAAAAUCAUCAAUGAAAUGUAGUGUUGUGGUCAUUGAUCCGGAUGAAAUAUGCAAACACUAUAUGUGCAAAAGUAAAUUUAUUAGCGAGACACAUCUGUUGAUUUUAUGUAAAUUGGAAUUUUUAAAAAAAUGUAAAAAUUGUAACAUUUUGGAUAUAAUGUACUAUAUAAAAGAAAAAAUAUGACGACAGCAGUUGCUAAUAUGCAUUUGUCGCUAUUCUAUAAAGUUUUGAUAUACUUGUUUUUCUUACUUUUUAUGGAGGAGGCAUUUGUAAGUUUUUGAAAGACCUGAUUUUGAAACCGUAUCUGGUUUUCUUGCAAUCAAACACGACCUUAUUAUGGACCUGAGAGAUCUAUUUAGUCCAAUCUGUGUACUAAUGGAGUAUCAUUAUUUUUCUAACCUACAUGAAAAUAACUUACAUGUACAUUCUUAUAUCUUUUCUUAAAACAUAUUUGUAUCUUACGUAAAUGAAACAUGAUUUAUGAAUAAAUAAAGUACCACAUCUAUAUAUCAUAAAAAACAUUUUUAACAACCAUAAAUACAUAUGUACAAGGUAUGUUUGUUUUAGAAUAUUGUUAAUAAAAACAUUUGUUUUUGAAAAUAAUGCGCUUGAUUGAUAUAAUUGACAAAAGAUUAUAAACAAAGGUGUAUGCCUUUCGAUGUGAAACAUCUUUUCUUUUAUGGACAACCAGUAAAAGUUUUAUAGUUGACGCAAGUUAUAGGGGAUAACAUCAGUCAUUUCAAUACUGUUUUUUGUUAGUUGCUUGUUUUGCUUUGUUUUGAUCUGAUGAGUCACGCCCUUUAUAACUGAUUAUAUAAUGUGUUCUUAUGUACUUACGUUACACACCUGUCUCGGGUUGGUAAGGGAUACUGGAUAGUGCGUUUAUAUCAGUUUAACCCCGUUACUUUCUGUAUAUGCCUGUCCCAAGUCAGGAGCUUGUAAUUCUAUGGUUGUCGUUUGUUAUUGUAUAUGACAUUUGUUUUUAGUUGGUCCUUUUGUACGUAAACCAGGUUGUUGGUUUUCGAAUUUGAGUUUGCUUUCCAUUAUAUUUUGUCGGGACAUUUUCUAGCUUGCUAUGUAGUAUCGGUUUUGGUCAUUGUUGAAGGACGUACGACAACCUAUUUAUUUCCAACAUCUACGUCAUUGGUAUCUGAAGGAUAGCUGUUUUAUUGGCGAUCAUCUCCUUAUUUUAUGUUCAAACUAGGAAAUGUCAAGUUAGAACAUAGAAAUGUCAAAAUGAACAUUCGAAAUGAUAAAAAUAGAAAGCC
RNAcentral lists this long non-coding RNA (1567 nucleotides) under Mytilus galloprovincialis (Mediterranean mussel). The record is from RNAcentral. Lineage: Eukaryota; Metazoa; Mollusca; Bivalvia; Mytilida; Mytilidae.